RNAcentral lists this ribosomal RNA (500 nucleotides) under uncultured bacterium. RNAcentral describes it as "partial 16S ribosomal RNA". It matches the Rfam family "Bacterial small subunit ribosomal RNA", at positions 29 to 523 of the family's 1533-position model. The record is from RNAcentral.
AUUGAACGCUGGCGGCAUGCCUUACACAUGCAAGUCGAACGGCAGCACGGGAGCAAUCCUGGUGGCGAGUGGCGAACGGGUGAGUAAAGUAUCGGAACGUGCCCAGUCGUGGGGGGUAACGUAGCGAAAGUUACGCUAAUACCGCAUACGAUCUAUGGAUGAAAGCGGGGGAUCGCAAGACCUCGCGCGAUUGGAGCGGCCGAUAUCAGAUUAGGUAGUUGGGGGGGUAAAGGCCCACCGAGCCGACGAUCUGUAGCUGGUCUGAGAGGACGACCAGCCACACUGGGACUGAGACACGGCCCAGACUCCUACGGGAGGCAGCAGUGGGGAAUUUUGGACAAUGGGCGAAAGCCUGAUCCAGCCAUGCCGCGUGCAGGAUGAAGGCCUUCGGGUUGUAAACUGCUUUUGUACGGAACGAAAAGGACUGCCCUAAUACGGUGGUCCCAUGACGGUACCGUAAGAAUAAGCACCGGCUAACUACGUGCCAGCCGCCGCCGUAA